This 101-nucleotide small nuclear RNA is filed under the name Salvator merianae (Argentine black and white tegu). The record is from RNAcentral. Lineage: Eukaryota; Metazoa; Chordata; Lepidosauria; Squamata; Teiidae.
GUGCUCGCUUCAGCAGCACAUAUACCGAAAUGAUGCAGAGAAGAUUAGCAUAGACCCUGCACAAGGAUGACAUGCAAAUUCAUGAAGCAUUCCAUUUUGUU